GUAUGUUAGUCAUUAAUGUUUGUACUGUCAGUCACCUGUUUAUUGUCCAUUUUUGAGUUUAUUUCAAAUUACCACAGGCCUUGAACACUUAAAAUGUUGAAUCCUACACAACACUUUACUGUCCUAUCUUCUGGUCUUGCUGCAGAUUUGCUUAAGUCUCAAAACUAUCUCAUGUGCAAGAGGACAUCAAUUUGCUACUAAUCAGACCUGAAACUAAUGAAUAAUUUAUUUUUCAUAAAUGCUGCACUUGCUUUUAAUCACCGUUUUAAUGCAGAAGUGUAUUUUUGUUUAAUCAUGCUCUAAGAUUAUGCCAUGUUGUUAGUCUGACACAUUGUCAAACUUGUUAUGUUACACAAGGCAAGGUGGGGACUGAGGAAUCAAGUUGGAUAGAAAUCCUUCAUUAGCAGAGGCAUGAGAAGGUCAUUUAGAAGCUUGUCUUAAUAAACACCCCCCAGCAAAUGGGCUUUAUUAUAUGUUCCUCCUAUCCUUAAGGGUAUUGAGAAAAUGAUGAUGAAUUGAACACAGACUUCAUAUUUACACUCCAAGAAGCACUGCCUUAUUCAAUUCAGAAGCAUGAAAAAGCUGUCACAGUUACAAAUGACCUAUUACAACACUAAUGCUUUAGAGUGCAGGGCUACUUGAAUGCAUACAGUAUAGUACACUGUGAUUCCAAAGUUAUAGAUUAGCUUCAUCUUUUUAAAAUAAUUUUGGUAAUGCAUGUAUUCACAAAAUAUUUUCAGUACAGCAGAUGAACUACCUUAGCUUGGCUUUUCAAAAUCUUUUAACCUGUUGUUGCUUUGAGAUCCUUUGCAUUCAAGCCUUUACAGCACUGCAGAUUUACCCAGCUGAGGUGUGCCAAAAUCAUGACCAACCCACAUGCCAAAUCACCAUGGGUCCCCUUUCCCCCAUCAUCAUCAUCCAUAUUCUCCAGCAAAUACUCCCAUACACCAACCCACUACACGCCUAUAGCUAAAAUUCAUUUGUUAGUACGGUUGUUUUGAAAAUAGAAGAACCAAGCAUACAGCAGCAGAUAUUUAUCUAAUCUGAACACACAUUUAUUCUGUUGACCCGUGAAGCCCCGGGUUAAAGGGCUAGAUAUGUUCAGUGUAAUGGAGUGCGGGAGGCACAUCCAGUUCUUAAUGUGUAAAAUGGGUGAGGAUAAACAUCACAAAAAUCACUGAGUUGUGUAUAAAAUUAGCCAUAUCACAACAUGUAAACAGAUCAGUUUGAUCCCAAAUAAAGCAGCUUGUAUAACCCAAUGGAGAGUUAUUCAUGAGUAAUGUAGUGGCUACAUUUGGGCUAUCCUAUAUACCAGAUGUCCGACUGUCUUAACUUACCACCAUAAUGUAAUGAACAAAGGCAAUUAUACUUCACCUCACACAAAAAGUCUAAAGUCAACAAAGUCUGUUUUUCCUGUUUUUUUUUUUUUUACAUCUACAAUAUUGCGCAUGGUAAUGACCAAUUUGCUUACUGUAUUUCAGAAAAGGUUUCAAACACACUCUCCCCCUAUAUUGAUGAUUAAUGUUAAAAAUCUAAAUAUUCCAGAUUUUUAACAAGUCAAUUCUUGCGUUACACAUCGUUGGUUAAACCUACAACAUGACUUGGCGUUCAUAACAUUGUAUGCCAACACCACUUUAGUUUUGCAUGAACAAAAGUAGAGUUUUUCAUAUUGGACUGCAAAACAGCCAGAACCAGUUACAAACGAAUACACGCUCACCAGGACGGUCAGGUUAAGACGCUGCAAUGUUGACAGGAAUGCUAAGGCUCGGUGGUCUCUAAAACUCCCGUGGCACUCACAGUAAGAGUAGCCCCGGUCUGAUGCGUAAAUUCCACGAGUAAGUCGCUCCUCACUUUUCUACCUGAUAGUUGACAAAUUGUGAGCCUAUUGACACACACUGAUGCCAUGUAUCACCCGUGUGGGUGCCACACAUUGUUAUACGAUGUGUUAACAAUUUGAGGGGUUUGCGACCUCAUGCUAAUAAGACCUCCGACGUCAGCUGGUACGUGGCUUACCAGUAACCACUCGAGUGUCCUGUCUGAACUGGCCAUGCUAAUACAACAAUCAACUAGUGCAGCAGCCCAUCGUGUCAGAGAAUAGACACUAAAUAAAAACAUUUGAUAUGUUCAAUUAUUUGAUGGGUAUCCGAGUAGCCUCCAACGAGGCUGUUAGCGGAUGUGCCUUGGAAAAACUGGCCUAAUUUUGUUAUUUAACUUUAGCUGCCUCUUUUUUUUUUUUUUUUGGCCCCACAUUAGUGCUUAAUUUCAAAUAUGUUGCUAACUGUUUUAUUUUUACAACUAGUUGACUUGAAACUAAUGCUCACCCUACUAUAGGGGGAGCAAAAAAAAAUUAUAAGAAAGCACCGAAUAUGGCAAACAGUUGUUUUUAAUGUAUUCUACUCAUACACAGAUUUAUGCUGCCAUCACAUUUUCUGGACCUACUCCUCCAGCGC
Long non-coding RNA from Esox lucius (northern pike), 2450 nucleotides. The record is from Ensembl. NCBI's taxonomy places the organism in Eukaryota, Metazoa, Chordata, Actinopteri, Esociformes, Esocidae.